Molecule: ribosomal RNA, 649 nt
Filed under: Curtobacterium flaccumfaciens
Lineage: Bacteria; Bacillati; Actinomycetota; Actinomycetes; Micrococcales; Microbacteriaceae
Description: bacterial SSU rRNA
Rfam family: Bacterial small subunit ribosomal RNA
Source: RNAcentral
CCUGUGAUUAGUGGCGAACGGGUGAGUAACACGUGAGUAACCUGCCCCUGACUCUGGGAUAAGCGUUGGAAACGACGUCUAAUACUGGAUAUGAUCACUGGCCGCAUGGUCUGGUGGUGGAAAGAUUUUUUGGUUGGGGAUGGACUCGCGGCCUAUCAGCUUGUUGGUGAGGUAAUGGCUCACCAAGGCGACGACGGGUAGCCGGCCUGAGAGGGUGACCGGCCACACUGGGACUGAGACACGGCCCAGACUCCUACGGGAGGCAGCAGUGGGGAAUAUUGCACAAUGGGCGAAAGCCUGAUGCAGCAACGCCGCGUGAGGGAUGACGGCCUUCGGGUUGUAAACCUCUUUUAGUAGGGAAGAAGCGAAAGUGACGGUACCUGCAGAAAAAGCACCGGCUAACUACGUGCCAGCAGCCGCGGUAAUACGUAGGGUGCAAGCGUUGUCCGGAAUUAUUGGGCGUAAAGAGCUCGUAGGCGGUUUGUCGCGUCUGCUGUGAAAUCCCGAGGCUCAACCUCGGGCUUGCAGUGGGUACGGGCAGACUAGAGUGCGGUAGGGGAGAUUGGAAUUCCUGGUGUAGCGGUGGAAUGCGCAGAUAUCAGGAGGAACACCGAUGGCGAAGGCAGAUCUCUGGGCCGUAACUGACGCU